AAGGGUGCGUAGGCGGCCCGUUAAGUCUGGGGUGAAAGCCCGCUGCUCAACAGCGGAACUGCCCUGGAUACUGACGGGCUUGAGUACAGACGAGGUUGGCGGAAUGGACGGAGUAGCGGUGAAAUGCAUAGAUACCGUCCAGAACCCCGAUUGCGAAGGCAGCUGACUAGGCUGUUACUGACGCUGAGGCACGACAGCGUGGGGAGCGAACAGGAUUAGAUACCCCUGGU
This 230-nucleotide ribosomal RNA is filed under the name uncultured bacterium. Its description in RNAcentral is "partial 16S ribosomal RNA". It matches the Rfam family "Bacterial small subunit ribosomal RNA", at positions 563 to 791 of the family's 1533-position model. The record is from RNAcentral.